CAUGAAGCUGGAAUCGCUAGUAAUCGCAGAUCAGAAUGCUGCGGUGAAUACGUUCCCGGGUCUUGUACACACCGCCCGCCACACCAUGGGAGUUGGAAAUGCCCGAAGUCAGUGACCGAACCGAAAGGAAGGAGCUGCCGAGGGUGGAGCCGAUGACUGGGGUGAAGUCGUAACAAGGUAUC
This 182-nucleotide ribosomal RNA is filed under the name uncultured bacterium. Its description in RNAcentral is "partial 16S ribosomal RNA". It matches the Rfam family "Bacterial small subunit ribosomal RNA", at positions 1319 to 1500 of the family's 1533-position model. The record is from RNAcentral.